This 450-nucleotide ribosomal RNA is filed under the name uncultured bacterium. Its description in RNAcentral is "partial 16S ribosomal RNA". It matches the Rfam family "Bacterial small subunit ribosomal RNA", at positions 354 to 796 of the family's 1533-position model. The record is from RNAcentral.
GUGGGGAAUUUUGGACAAUGGGCGCAAGCCUGAUCCAGCAAUGCCGCGUGCAGGAAGAAGGCCUUCGGGUUGUAAACUGCUUUUGUACGGAACGAAACGGUCCUGGUUAAUACCCGGGGCUAAUGACGGUACCGUAAGAAUAAGUACCGGCUAACUACGUGCCAGCAGCCGCGGUAAUACGUAGGGUGCAAGCGUUAAUCGGAAUUACUGGGCGUAAAGCGUGCGCAGGCGGUGCUGUAAGACAGGCGUGAAAUCCCCGGGCUUAACCUGGGAAUUGCGCUUGUGACUGCAGUGCUGGAGUGCGGCAGAGGGGGAUGGAAUUCCGCGUGUAGCAGUGAAAUGCGUAGAUAUGCGGAGGAACACCGAUGGCGAAGGCAAUCCCCUGGGCCUGCACUGACGCUCAUGCACGAAAGCGUGGGGAGCAAACAGGAUUAGAUACCCGAGUAGUCC